AUGAACGCUGGCGGCGUGCCUAAUACAUGCCAGUCGCGCGAACAGACGAGGAGCUUGCUCCUCUGACGUUAGCGGCGGACGGGUGAGUAACACGUGGAUAACCUACCUAUAAGACUGGGAUAACUUCGGGAAACCGGAGCUAAUACCGGAUAAUAUAUUGAACCGCAUGGUUCAAUAGUGAAAGACGGUUUUGCUGUCACUUAUAGAUGGAUCCGCGCCGCAUUAGCUAGUUGGUAAGGUAACGGCUUACCAAGGCAACGAUGCGUAGCCGACCUGAGAGGGUGAUCGGCCACACUGGAACUGAGACACGGUCCAGACUCCUACGGGAGGCAGCAGUAGGGAAUCUUCCGCAAUGGGCGAAUGCUUGACGGAGCAACGCCGCGUGAGUGAUGAAGGUCUUCGGAUCGUAAAACUCUGUUAUUAGGGAAGAACAAAUGUGUAAGUAACUAUGCACGUCUUGACGGUACCUAAUCAGAAAGCCACGGCUAACUACGUG
RNAcentral lists this ribosomal RNA (496 nucleotides) under uncultured bacterium. RNAcentral describes it as "partial 16S ribosomal RNA". It matches the Rfam family "Bacterial small subunit ribosomal RNA", at positions 29 to 507 of the family's 1533-position model. The record is from RNAcentral.